This is an RNA transcript of Rosa chinensis, 2436 nucleotides long. RefSeq lists it as uncharacterized. The record is from RefSeq and is a predicted model, not a curated record. Lineage: Eukaryota; Viridiplantae; Streptophyta; Magnoliopsida; Rosales; Rosaceae. The transcript is spliced from 2 exons.
AAUCUAAUAUCAAUGGUUCUCGAGAAUGAGUUCGUUUUCGCUUUGGUAUUUAUUUGUGCUUUAAUUAGAUUUUCUUUCUUUUUGAUUUAACCUCCAUUUGUAUGUAACCAUGUUGCGUUUGUCUUGACCAUGCAUGUAAUUAUAUAUGAGUAAUUUGCAUAGUUGCUUCAAUCUUGUAUGGACGUAUGGUAUUGUCACAAGUAGUACUAGUAUGUAAUAUGGACCACGGUUUUGGUUACAUGGCACAUGUGCAAAUUGUUACAAGACAAUUCCAGAGUCGUACUUAUAUUUUUACAAUCUCCACAUUAAUUUUGUUUUUAUUUUAAUAUACCUGUGUUUUAUUCGUUUGAACUUACCACUAACUAUGAGUUUAGUGAUUGAUUAAGAAUUAAUAGCAUCUACCUUUAACCCUUCUAGAUAUAUGAGAUCCUUAGAUUAACAACUGCAGGUUGAUCGAAGAACGGAAGGUAAAGUCUGCCUAAAGAGGGGGUUCAGGUUUGAUUAGCUUGCCCUUACUAUGGGAUUGCAACCCUUUUUCAGCCAUUUUGCAUGCAGCACCUCUAUCAUUCAAACAAUAGAGAGAAGUUUGCCUGAAGAGGGGGUUUGUGUUUGAUUAGCUAGUAAGGCUAUUCCCUAUUGUUUGGAAGCUAGGCAUAGGUGCUACAUGCAAAAUGAUCGGGGAAAAGGUUGAAAUCCAGUAAGGAAAAACUAAUUCCGAAAAAAAAAAAAAAAAAAAAACCUCAUUUCACCCCGACCGGCCACAUGUUCUGAUCUUAAUUUAUUUCUGGCAUAAGAUUUGUUUGAUCGAAGUUUGAACGUUAACACGCCAUUAGGCUAUCCAUGCCAGAAGCUUUGUUUUUCAUUGAAAGCUUACGCCUUCCCAACACUAGCUAGCUUGUUACAAAUAGAGCGAUUGAAGAUCCAAUUAGAGUCCCUUCUUUCAUUGGCACAUGUUUUUAGUUGAUCAAAUAAAUCCCAAUUCUGCACUAAUUAACAUCGCACUUCUGCACAAAUACACACAAACACACACACAGUCUUCACAUAGCAUAUCUAACCAGACAGUUAAACUUUGUAUAAGAAGUUCCAAUAAUUACAGUAGUUGCAUGGUUCAGACUUCCAGAACCUACCGGUAAAAUUGCCGUUGAAAAAUCAGUACAAGGCUCACGCGUUCAAAGUCUUCAAAAGACAUGAGUAGCAGAGAAGCGUGACUAAGCUAUAAGCCAGAUGGCUCGUACACUACUGACUCCUUGUCCCCCAUUUCAAUCCCAUGCCAAGUUUGAGCUUCAAUUCAGUUUUUUUCCUAAAACUUUCUGAUAAUCCCAAUUAAGUAGUCUCAAUCUCAGCUUAUAGCUAUGGCAGCUCCUCUAUAACAUGGUCAGAGCAUCCUAUUUUUGUGUGACUAGGCAAAUAAACCUUCACUGUUGAGAUUCUAUCUUCUUGGACCCCCACUCCCUGCAUGAAGCAUAUAUAAUAUAUCUAUGACACGUGUACAGAUCAUGAUCAUGAUCAACUGUCCAAGAGUGUGAAAUACCUGUUCUAACCUCGAAGCCCUAGGUUUCUCUCUGAUCAUUCUGUAUAAAGCCUGCUGCUGCAGCCUGCACGUCAAUUAAAAGAAAACGAAGGCAUGCUCUCUUAACUCCAUCACAUGUCCGUACGGUUUGGAGUAAAUAAUCAGUACAGCUGAAGCCGCCUUGCUUUUCCUAUUCUGCAGAAGAACAGAAAUGCAGGUUGCAAAGAUGAUCAGCAGCGACGCGGCAGCGACAGCAGAAGCGGAAGCGAGUCGUCACGGUAUGAUGAGCCGGCCCUACGAGAUGGUGAGGCAGCUAGGGUCAUGCAACGCGGUGGUUGUGUUCAGCGCGAGCGGCUGCCCAAUGUGCACCGUGGCCGAGCGCCUCCUCUUCAGCCUAGGAGUUGGCCCCACCAUCGUGGAGCUGGACCGCCACGUGGAGGGGCCGGACAUAAGGGAGGUGCUCCGAGAGCUGGCGGAUGGGCAGGGGCAGCAGCAGCCGGUUCCGGCGGUGUUCAUUGGAGGGAAGUUCUUGGGCGGCGUGGAGGCACUGAUGGCUUGCCACAUCAACGGCAACCUCGUCCCUCUUCUCAAGCACUCCGGCGCUCUCUGGCUCUGAUCUGAUGACCGAUGUCCUGAUUCUAAGUCGACUGGUUUCGCUUUUAAUUAGUUAAUUAUAGUUUCAAGAACAUGCAUCUCUGAAACCCAUAAUAUCAACCGUAGGGUUUUGCUUCUCUCACUUUAGUCUUUGUCUUCUCUAGCUUGCUAUUGGCUUAUGAGUAGGAUAAUGAUGAUAAACUUAUAUUACGUACAAGCUGGGUUGUACGGCCUAUUUCGUGGGUAUAACAUGAAACAUGCUAGCCUAAUUCUCAUGAUAAUCAUAUGUAAUAUCUUUUUAGCUAGCUAAUAUAUGUAUAAUUAUUAAUUAA